AUGAAUGCACGUGAUCUAGGACUAUUUGCUUUGGUGCUUAAUGGAUCGCAUCAUGCAUCCUAUUUAAACUGCAAUGCUUUACAUCUAAUGUUAUUUUUUGAGUCAUGGAACAGUGGCGGUCUUGAAGCGGUGGUGCCUUUCUAUACCAAGACUGGAUACAAAAUAAGGUUGAUUUUUGUUUGCUCUGACGAUAGGGAGGCAAGACCAGGAUCACAUUCUUGGCCCCGUUUGAAGGAACGACGAUUUUCAGGAUUGACGUGGAUUGAUUUUCUUGAACAUGAAGGUGUCAUUUUCAUUGCCAUUGAACACUAUAGACAAUUAGUUCAGAGUUAA
This 333-nucleotide ribosomal RNA is filed under the name Triticum aestivum (bread wheat). Its description in RNAcentral is "partial small subunit ribosomal RNA". Lineage: Eukaryota; Viridiplantae; Streptophyta; Magnoliopsida; Poales; Poaceae. The record is from RNAcentral.